This 69-nucleotide transfer RNA is filed under the name Planocera reticulata. Its description in RNAcentral is "tRNA-alanine". The record is from RNAcentral. Lineage: Eukaryota; Metazoa; Platyhelminthes; Polycladida; Planoceridae.
CCCUUGGUAGUUUAAUUCAAAACGCUAGCUUUGCAAGAUGGUAAUGGGCUUCCCAAAACCCCCAAGUGA